GAUGAAGAACGCAGCGAAAUGCGAUAAGUAGUGUGAAUUGCAGAAUUCAGUGAAUCAUCGAAUCUUUGAACGCACAUUGCGCCCCAUGGUAUUCCGUGGGGCAUGCCUGUUCGAGCGUCAUUUACCCCCUCAAGCUCCGCUUGGUGUUGGGCGUCUGUCCCGCUUCGCGCGCGGACUCGCCCCAAAGGUAUUGGCAGCGGUCGUGCCAGCUUCUCGCGCAGCACAUUGCGCUUCUCGAGGCACCGGUGGGCCCGCGUCCAUCAAGCUCACCCCCCCAGUUUGACCUCGGAUCAGGUAGGGAUACCCGCUGAACUUAAGCAUAUCAAUAAGCGGGAGGA
RNAcentral lists this unclassified non-coding RNA (338 nucleotides) under soil metagenome. RNAcentral describes it as "partial contains 5.8S ribosomal RNA, internal transcribed spacer 2, and large subunit ribosomal RNA". The stretch from base 1 to 120 matches the Rfam family "5.8S ribosomal RNA", at positions 35 to 154 of the family's 154-position model. The record is from RNAcentral.